CGUAGGGUGCAAGCGUUAAUCGGAAUUACUGGGCGUAAAGCGUGCGCAGGCGGUUUUGUAAGUCUGUCGUGAAAUCCCCGGGCUCAACCUGGGAAUUGCGAUGGAGACUGCAAGGCUAGAAUCUGGCAGAGGGGGUAGAAUUCCACGUGUAGCAGUGAAAUGCGUAGAGAUGUGGAGGAACACCGAUGGCGAAGGCAGCCCCCUGGGUCAAGAUUGACGCUCAUGCACGAAAGCGUGGGAGCAAACAGGAUU
RNAcentral lists this ribosomal RNA (252 nucleotides) under uncultured bacterium. RNAcentral's name for it is "partial 16S ribosomal RNA". It matches the Rfam family "Bacterial small subunit ribosomal RNA", at positions 526 to 779 of the family's 1533-position model. The record is from RNAcentral.